UCCAGACUCCUACGGGAGGCAGCAGUGGGGAAUUUUGCGCAAUGGGGGAAACCCUGACGCAGCAACGCCGCGUGCGGGACGAAGGCCUUCGGGUUGUAAACCGCUUUCAGCAGGGACGAAUUCCGACGGUACCUGCAGAAGAAGCUCCGGCUAACUAUGUGCCAGCAGCCGCGGUAAUACAUAGGGAGCAAGCGUUAUCCGGAUUUAUUGGGUGUAAAGGGUGCGUAGACGGGAAAUUAAGUUAGUUGUGAAAUCCCUCGGCUUAACUGAGGAACUGCAACUAAAACUGAUUUUCUUGAGUACUGGAGAGGAAAGUGGAAUUCCUAGUGUAGCGGUGAAAUGCGUAGAUAUUAGGAGGAACACCAGUGGCGAAGGCGACUUUCUGGACAGUAACUGACGUUGAGGCACGAAAGUGUGGGGAGCAAACAGGAUUAGAUACCCCUGUA
Molecule: ribosomal RNA, 446 nt
Filed under: uncultured bacterium
Lineage: Bacteria
Description: bacterial SSU rRNA
Rfam family: Bacterial small subunit ribosomal RNA
Source: RNAcentral